UUACUAAUGUUAGUGUAUUUUAUGUGUGGCCUAAGACGAUUCUUCUUCCAGUGUGCCCCAAGGAAGCCAAAAGAUUGGACACCCCUGGAAACUCAUCAGUCAGAGGAGAUGUGAGUGAGAGGCCUCAAGUGACCCUUUCUGGAAAUUCUUCCAUAUGAAAACAUGGGAGGAGGGAGGUUUCCUAUGUAGGAACCACAUGUGCAAAAAUGGCAAAAGAAAGAGAGGAGCAAGAGAUCCGCUUAUGAUAAUCCAACAAAACGAUAACUGGAACAGAAAAGAAAACGACGGCCAAUCAAACCCCUGAGUGACUCCACAUUGUCUUUAAUUCUCCUCUAAUCAAAGAGCAGCACACAGUUGUGAGAGGUGGUCCGAGCCGGGGAGAUUAUGCAGAGAGUGACUCCAUUCAGAGAAAUUUUGGCAUGAUUCCUAACCUCUUAGCCUGAGGGAGAAUUUCUUAAAUUUUAUUUGUGGUUCUCACCUGAGAGAAUUGAUGCCUUCAAGAGAGCACCAGACAGAGGCUAAACAGACAUGCAAUAAAAUUAUCCUCCUUGGAUGGGUCAGGAGCUGGCUGAUAACUUACUCUAAGCCUACAUCAAUCAGGGAGCAGCAGGGGCAUCCACAGUCAAGGAGAGCUGAAGGUGGCAGGGCGUACAGCCGCAGAUCAUCUUAAAUAAAGAUAUAGAAGGCAGACUCUCAUAAAAGAAACCAUAAAUGAAACAAUGAAUAACGACUUCUGUUUAUCAUUCUCUAUUGUUUGCAACUUUCACAAUAAGCGUGUAUUGUUUUCUUAAAUAAAUAGCAAACAAUAAACUCAUAUUGAUAUGGCAUCAAUUUUCACUGAAUACCCUAAGAGGAAGCCAUGUUUUUC
Molecule: long non-coding RNA, 868 nt
Filed under: Homo sapiens (human)
Lineage: Eukaryota; Metazoa; Chordata; Mammalia; Primates; Hominidae
Description: non-protein coding lnc-UCHL3-7:1
Source: RNAcentral